Molecule: long non-coding RNA, 937 nt
Filed under: Oryctolagus cuniculus (rabbit)
Lineage: Eukaryota; Metazoa; Chordata; Mammalia; Lagomorpha; Leporidae
Description: lncRNA (ENSOCUG00000038076.1)
Source: RNAcentral
AUGGUAAAUAAUAUGUACAUCGAGGGAAAUGUAGCCAGAGCUUCUAUGUCAGAUUGGCUUGUUCCCUUUUCUGUCCUUUCCUUUAUAGACUCUGAGCCCCUUCAGGUAUUACUUUCUGUACCCACAACUCUAAUAUCUAUAUUGAUCCUGAUAUAUGUCAUGCUGACCUUAAUGGGUAAUAAUUACACCUUCUGUCCAGACAGAAACUGUAAACAAAAUGUCAGUGUCAUGAUCUCACAUGCUUGUAGAAUAAUUAACAAUUAUACUUUGUGCCUGAUGGAAACCCUCCUCUGGAACUACUGCAUGAGAGCAGAACACUUGAAUGCUAGACCAGAUUUCCUGAGACCAGCCACUGGACAUCUUCCUAAAGAAGCAAUGGAACAAAUCCUUCCAGUAAACUGGCCAAGUUCACCACCUUUUUCUGCCCUGAAAAUCUUUCAUGUGCAGUGAGAGAGUACUUCAAAGUCAUGGAAAAUUGUAUCUGAAAGGGCCUUGUAUUUGGGGAAAGUUAAUCCUAUUGUGACUCCUUGGUGUGGCUGUUUUAGCAGGACAUGGAGCUGACACAACGGAGGAGGGAGCUCUGUGAGCCCGUCUAGGUGAGUGUGUGUCUCAUGUGGAAUGGGAGCUGGGCUCAGAGCAGGGGUUCCCAGGCUCACUGAGUAGACACAAGGGAACUCUUGGCUAUGGGAAGACCUCAAUUGAUAAUUUUCAAAUGACUACCGGAUUUUCCAUCAAAACUGACAAAUAUUUGAUGUCUUGGGGAAGGAUUGAGGGUGGGACAGAAAUUCUUGGUCAGAGAUGGCACUAGAAGCUGCCUGAUCUGGAACAGUUCCAUCCAAAAAUACAGGUGCUAUAUUCUCAACCAGAAAAUAGAUUUUGAAUUCCCACUCUACUGCUAAUGUCUGUUUGAGUGACUAUUCCUCAUGUUAUUUUUCUU